RNAcentral lists this ribosomal RNA (749 nucleotides) under uncultured Cercozoa. RNAcentral's name for it is "eukaryotic LSU rRNA". It matches the Rfam family "Eukaryotic large subunit ribosomal RNA", at positions 76 to 657 of the family's 3401-position model. The record is from RNAcentral. Lineage: Eukaryota; Cercozoa.
UCCCCCAGUAACGGCGAGUGAAGCGGGAAGAGCUCAAAAUGUAAACCGGAGUGCCAAGCGGUACUCCGGGUUGUAAGCUAGAGAUGUACUGUCAGCGUGUGGCCUGGGUAUAAAUCCUUUGGAACAGGGUGUCAUAGAGGGUGAGAACCCCGUCUUUGAUCCAGAGUCCGCCGCGUACGACGUGCAUUCAAAGAGUCGAGUUGUUUGGGAUUGCAACUCUAAAUGGGAGGUAAAUUUCUUCUAAAGCUAAAUACCUGCGAGAGACCGAUAGCGAACAAGUACCGUGAGGGAAAGAUGAAAAGAACUUUGAAAAGAGAGUUAAAAAGUACUUGAAAUUGCUAAGAAGGAAGCGUUGGCAACCAGAGAUUUUGUGCCGUGGCAUACAAGCCGCAAGCCGUGUGAUCUGUGUGCUUCAGGGAGCCUUUGCGCCCCUGCUGGUGUGCAGCUGAGUGCGGAGGGCGGUGUCGUGCCGCGGUACAGGCCAGCAUCAGUUUCUAUGCGCGGGAGAAGGCCCGGAAGAAGGUAGGUCGUCGGCUUCACGGCUGGCUUCUGUUAUAGCCUCUGGGAGAUACCGCGUAAGAGACUGAGGAAUCGACAACGUGCGCCACUAUGGCUCACCUGCGCGGGCCCUGCGUGGUUAGGGAGCUGGAUAGCAAAGCUAUGCUGUUUCCGAAGCUGCGUACUGGCCUGCGACAGAGUAGAAGCACGUUCGGGAUGCUGGUAAAAUGGUUUUCAAUGACCCGUCUUGA